GCAGGUGUUCAUAUGUGUGUGUGUCGAGAUAGAGAGGGAAAGAGAGAAAACUCUCUCAAAAACCUACAUCCUAAAAUCAGCAAAUUUAGGAAGAAAUUGGAAGAUAAUCCUAUGCAUGAACAUCUUUUCCUAAUCAUCUAAUCUUCAUAAUCAUAAGGAGUGAAAGCGGAAGCAUCAAGUGACACAAUGCAACAAGAGGCGCAAGACUGAGAUACAUCCAACCAGGAUAAAUCCAAGACACCUAAAAAGCAGAUUCCAAAACCAACUCGUCCAUGGGUUUUAUACAUUUCAAAUAUGAAGAGAGAAGGAACAUGGAUUGUAAAAACAUACUUUAACAAGGACACCUGCCUUUAUACAAGGGAUGUUAACUUGUGCGCUAUCAGUUGGUUGUCUAAGGAGAUACAACCAACCAUCAAAUCCAAUCCUGGGAUUCCAAUCCAAGUUCUUCAAGAUGAUCUGCAUAGGAGGCUGCAGGUACAGGUAACCAAGCAUCAAUUGUUUAGGGUUAAAUGAAGGCAUUAGAGAGGGUUCAAGGUCAUUAUAAGGCUCAAUAUGAGAAGCUGAGGGACUAUGGUGAAGAACUUCUCAAAUCCAAUCCAGGGUCUAUAGUGAGGAUUGAUGUGGAACCACUGUGUAAUCCCUCUUGUCCCACUAGACAGUUUAGGAGGAUCUACAUCUACUUAGGUGCAUUGAAGCAAGGGUUUAAGCUAUCUAGGAGACCACUGUUGGGCCUUGAUGGCUUUUUUUUUGAAAGGGUCCUUUCUUAGGCAGAUUUUGACAGCAGUAGGAGUAGAUGCUAACAAUGGGAUUUACCCAGUUGCAUACGUAGUUGUUGAGGCUGAGACUACAUCUUCUUGGACUUGGUUUCUUGAGUUGUUGGGUCAAGACUUUGAUAUUGAUGUUAACAGUUACUUCUGUUUCAUAAAGUGACAGGCAAAAAGGUUUAAUACCUGAUGUGUCUAAGGUGUUUCCAAGGUGUGAGCAUAGAUACCGCCUUAGACAUAUACAUGAAAAUAUGAACCCAAGAUGGAAAGGUGAAUUGUACAAGAACUUGUUGUGGAAUUGUGUUGCUGCUACAACCAUACAAGCCUUCGAAAAGGGAAUGAACACUAUUAAAAAUGAAGACAAGGCACUACACGACUGGUUAAAGACCAAACAUUAGAGCAUGGCAUACUUUUCUGGCUUGGUUAAGUGGGAUGUCACUGGCAUGCCAUGUAGGCAUGCAGUGGCUUGCAUAUGGAAUAUGGGGUUACAUGGAAGAGGUGAUGGUGUUCCAGAGAGAUGGGUGGAUAGGGCAUACUGGUUACAAACAUGGAAGGAUGUGUAUGCAUGUCUCAUUGACCCAAUUAAUGGCAUGGACAUGUGGCCAACCUCUGCAUGCCCAACUACAUUAGUUGCUCCAAAAUAUCAUGCCCAUGUUAGGAGACCAAAAUAGAAGAGAAAGAAGUCUGUAGAGGAGAUUGAUGAGUUGAAGGGCAAAAAGAAGACAUUAGGAGAAGGAUGUUGAAAAGUUAAGUCAACCUAUUCCAAGUACUGGAAAUAUGCCAAGGAAGGGCAACUCAUUGAGUUGUAAGAUUUGCAAGCAGAAGGGGCACAACAAGAGAGCUUGUGGAAACAAGACAGAAGGUGUUGGUCAGUCACAACAGUUAGAGCAUGUGCCUUAGUUGGAUGCAACUGAUGGUUUUUGUGUAGUUGAAGGUUUUUGUGCAGUUGAAGGUUUUGGUGCAGUUCAAACUUUCUGUGUAGGUUUAACUUUAAGCUUUAUUAACAGUAUAUAAUUAGAUCUAGCAAUUCAUGUGGAUGAUCAGGUUUAAAGUUCUAGUUUUUUUGUUUAUAAUAGAUGGUCUAUGUAAAAUGCCACUUGACAUUUGUUUUUGGGUUGUAAUUGCAAUGCAUGAAACUGCUAUUGAAUGGUUAACUUAUGAUGUGAUCUAUUGAAUGGUUUA
Long non-coding RNA from Helianthus annuus (common sunflower), 1946 nucleotides. RefSeq lists it as uncharacterized. The transcript is spliced from 5 exons. The record is from RefSeq and is a predicted model, not a curated record. NCBI's taxonomy places the organism in Eukaryota, Viridiplantae, Streptophyta, Magnoliopsida, Asterales, Asteraceae.